GACGAACGCUGGCGGCGUGCUUAACACAUGCAAGUCGAACGGAAAGGCCUGCUUUCCCUUGUGUAUUGCGGGUACUCGAGUGGCGAACGGGUGAGUAACACGUGAGUGAUCUGCCCCCAACUUGGGUAUAAGCCUGGGAAACUGGGUCUAAUUCCCGAUAGGACUGCAGGGUGGUGCCUGUGGUGGAAAACGAUUUUCUAGUGGUUGGGGAUGAGCUCGCGGCCUAUCAGCUUGUUGGUGGGGUAAUGGCCUACCAAGGCGGCGACGGGUAGCCGGCCUGAGAGGGUGGGCGGGCACAUUGGGCCGGAGACACGGCCCAGACGCCUACGGGAGGCAGCAGUGGGGAAUAUUGAACAAUGGGCGGAAGCCUGAGGGAGCGACGCCGAGUGGGGGAUGACGGCCGUCGGGUUGUAAACUCCUUUCGACAGCGAGGAAGCCACCUGGUUGGAAGGGUGGUGACGGUAGUGGUAGAAGAAGCACCGGCUAACUACGUG
Molecule: ribosomal RNA, 494 nt
Filed under: uncultured bacterium
Lineage: Bacteria
Description: partial 16S ribosomal RNA
Rfam family: Bacterial small subunit ribosomal RNA
Source: RNAcentral